RNAcentral lists this ribosomal RNA (323 nucleotides) under uncultured bacterium. RNAcentral's name for it is "bacterial SSU rRNA". It matches the Rfam family "Bacterial small subunit ribosomal RNA", at positions 28 to 334 of the family's 1533-position model. The record is from RNAcentral.
GAUGAACGCUGGCGGCGUGCUUAACACAUGCAAGUCGAACGAGAAUCAACGGAUUGAGGAUUCGUCCAAAUGAAGUUGAGGAAAGUGGCGGACGGGUGAGUAACGCGUGAGGAACCUGCCUCGGAGUGGGGAAUAACAGUUGGAAACGACUGCUAAUACCGCAUGACACAUUGAGGGGGCAUCCCUUUGAUGUCAAAGAUUUAUCGCUGAAAGAUGGCCUCGCGUCCCAUUAGCUAGUUGGUGAGGUAACGGCCCACCAAGGCGACGAUGGGUAGCCGGACUGAGAGGUUGACCGGCCACAUUGGGACUGAGAUACGGCCCAG